CACGUAGGCGGGUCUUUAAGUCGGGGUGAAGUCCUGGAGCUCAACUCCAGAACUGCCUUCGAUACUGAGGAUCUCGAGUCCGGGAGAGGUGAGUGGAACUCCGAGUGUAGAGGUGAAAUUCGUAGAUAUUCGGAAGAACACCAGUGGCGAAGGCGGCUCACUGGCCCGGUACUGACGCUGAGGUGCGAAAGCGUGGGGAGCAAACA
RNAcentral lists this ribosomal RNA (206 nucleotides) under uncultured bacterium. RNAcentral describes it as "partial 16S ribosomal RNA". It matches the Rfam family "Bacterial small subunit ribosomal RNA", at positions 568 to 774 of the family's 1533-position model. The record is from RNAcentral.